This 462-nucleotide ribosomal RNA is filed under the name uncultured bacterium. RNAcentral describes it as "partial 16S ribosomal RNA". It matches the Rfam family "Bacterial small subunit ribosomal RNA", at positions 28 to 507 of the family's 1533-position model. The record is from RNAcentral.
GAUGAACGCUGACAGAAUGCUUAACACAUGCAAGUCAUUGGCGAAGCUGCGCUUGCGCAGUCUAGCCAAGGCGGACGGGUGAGUAACGCGUAAGGAACUUGCCCUGCAGGCAGGGAUAACAGACGGAAACGACUGAUAACACCUGGUAUUGUCAGGCUGGCGCAUGCCGGCCUGAUGAAAGGAGACGCUGCAGGAGAGCCUUGCGUCCUAUUAGCUAGUUGGUGGGGUAACGGCCCACCAAGGCGAUGAUAGGUAGCCGGCCUGAGAGGGUGAACGGCCACAAGGGGACUGAGAUACGGCCCUUACUCCUACGGGAGGCAGCAGUGGGGAAUAUUGGACAAUGGGGGCAACCCUGAUCCAGCAAUUCUGUGUGCACGAAGAAGGUUUUCGGAUUGUAAAGUGCUUUCAGCAGGGAAGAAGAAAGUGACGGUACCUGCAGAAGAAGCGACGGCUAAAUACGUG